Molecule: ribosomal RNA, 940 nt
Filed under: Amylibacter sp.
Lineage: Bacteria; Pseudomonadati; Pseudomonadota; Alphaproteobacteria; Rhodobacterales; Paracoccaceae
Description: partial 23S ribosomal RNA
Rfam family: Bacterial large subunit ribosomal RNA
Source: RNAcentral
GAUCAAGCGCGAGAAGGGCGUUUGGUGGAUGCCUUGGCAGUAAGAGGCGAUGAAGGACGUGAUACUCUGCGAUAAGCUUUGGGAAGUCGAGAAUAGACGCUAUACCCAAAGAUCUCCGAAUGGGGCAACCCAACUGAUACUUUGUUAUUGUUACACUUUGUGUAAUCAAUAAUGGGGUAAAACAGUUAUUAAUUACCUGAAUACAUAGGGUUUUUAAAGCAAACCUGGGGAACUGAAACAUCUAAGUACCCAGAGGAAAGGAAAUCAAUAGAUACUCCCGUAGUAGUGGCGAGCGAACCGGGACCAGCCGAGCAAUGAAUGUGACUAGAACCAGUUGGAAAGCUGGGCGAUAUGGGUGACAGCCCCGUAUAGGAAGCAUGAUUUGACGUAUUAAGUAGGGCGGAACACGUGAAAUUCUGUCUGAACAUGGGGGGACCACCCUCUAAGGCUAAGUACUCCUUACUGACCGAUAGCGAACCAGUACCGUGAGGGAAAGGUGAAAAGCACCCCGACGAGGGGAGUGAAACAGUUUCUGAAACCGGACGCCUACAAACAGUUGGAGCCUCUUUAUGGGGUGACAGCGUACCUUUUGUAUAAUGGGUCAACGACUUGGUCUUACUAGCAAGCUUAAGCCGAUAGGUGUAGGCGCAGCGAAAGCGAGUCUUAAUAGGGCGAAUGAGUUAGUAGGAUCAGACCCGAAACCGAGUGAUCUAGGCAUGAGCAGGUUGAAGGUAAGGUAACACUUACUGGAGGACCGAACCCACAUCUGUUGAAAAAGAUCGGGAUGACUUGUGCCUAGGGGUGAAAGGCCAAUCAAACUCGGAGAUAGCUGGUUCUCCGCGAAAUCUAUUUAGGUAGAGCGUCGCACGAAUACCUUGGGGGGUAGAGCACUGAAUGGGUAAUGGGGACUCACCGUCUUACUGAUCCUAAUCAAACUCCG